This 464-nucleotide ribosomal RNA is filed under the name uncultured bacterium. Its description in RNAcentral is "bacterial SSU rRNA". It matches the Rfam family "Bacterial small subunit ribosomal RNA", at positions 338 to 795 of the family's 1533-position model. The record is from RNAcentral.
CCUACGGGGGGCUGCAGUUUCGAAUCAUUCACAAUGGGCGAAAGCCUGAUGGUGCAACGCCGCGUGGGGGACGACGGUCUUCGGAUUGUAAACCCCUGUCACCAGGGACUAAUAUGCAUCCAUUAAUAGUGGUUGCCUUGAAUUAACCUGGAGAGGAAGCAGUGGCUAACUCUGUGCCAGCAGCCGCGGUAAUACAGAGACUGCAAGCGUUAUUCGGAUUCACUGGGCGUAAAGGGUGCGCAGGCGGUUAGAUGUGUCAGGUGUGAAAUCUCGAGGCUUAACCUCGAAACUGCGUCUGAAACUAUCUGACUAGAGUAUCGGAGAGGUGAGCGGAAUUCAUGGUGUAGCAGUGAAAUGCGUAGAUAUCAUGAGGAACACCAGAGGCGAAGGCGGCUCACUGGACGAUUACUGACGCUCAGGCACGAAAGCGUGGGUAGCGAAAGGGAUUAGAUACCCUGGUAGUC